UGAGUAACACGUAUCCAACCUGCCGUCUACUCUUGGACAGCCUUCUGAAAGGAAGAUUAAUACAAGAUGGCAUCAUGAGUCCGCAUGUUCACAUGAUUAAAGGUAUUCCGGUAGACGAUGGGGAUGCGUUCCAUUAGAUAGUAGGCGGGGGAACGGCCCACCUAGUCUUCGAUGGAUAGGGGUUCUGAGAGGAAGGUCCCCCACAUUGGAACUGAGACACGGUCCAA
This 227-nucleotide ribosomal RNA is filed under the name uncultured bacterium. RNAcentral's name for it is "partial 16S ribosomal RNA". It matches the Rfam family "Bacterial small subunit ribosomal RNA", at positions 107 to 334 of the family's 1533-position model. The record is from RNAcentral.